This 776-nucleotide small RNA is filed under the name Pongo abelii (Sumatran orangutan). RNAcentral's name for it is "processed transcript". The record is from RNAcentral. Lineage: Eukaryota; Metazoa; Chordata; Mammalia; Primates; Hominidae.
GCACAUUACCAUUAACCAGUACCUGCAGCAGGUGUACGAAGCCAUCGACACCAGAGAUGGAGCAUCUUGUGCAGAGUUGGUGUCUUUUAAACAUCCUCAUGUUGCAAACCCACGACUUCAAAUGGCCUCUCCAGAGGAGAAGUGUCAACAAGUCUUGGAACCCCCUUAUGAUGAAAUGUUUGCAGCUCAUUUAAGGUGCACUUACGCAGUGGGGAAUCAUGACUUCAUAGAGGCUUACAAGUGCCAGACCGUGAUAGUCCAGUCAUUCUUGCGAGCAUUCCAGGCCCACAAAGAAGAAAACUGGGCUCUGCCUGUCAUGUAUGCAGUAGCGCUUGACCUUCGAGUGUUUGCCAAUAAUGCAGAUCAGCAGUUGGUAAAGAAAGGAAAAAGCAAAGUUGGGGACAUGUUGGAAAAAGCAGCAGAGUUACUGAUGAGCUGUUUCCGGGUCUGUGCCAGUGACACAUCAACAAACUCCAUUUAUGUAAACCGCUAAUUAGAGCAAUUGACAGCUCAAACCUGAAAGACGAUUACAGCACUGCACAGAGAGUAACAUACAAAUACUACGUUGGACGCAAGGCCAUGUUUGACAGCGACUUUAAGCAAGCUGAGGAGUACCUGUCGUUUGCCUUUGAGCAUUGUCACCGUUCUAGUCAGAAGAACAAAAGGAUGAUUCUGAUCUAUUUGCUUCCAGUAAAAAUGCUAUUGGGUCACAUGCCCACUGUGGAGCUCCUGAAAAAGUAUCACCUGAUGCAGUUUGCAGAAGUAACCAGAGCUGU